AACUUAGAUCCAAAAUAUAAAAAAUAUCCAACAAACAACCAAAUCCAAUGACAAAUAUACAAAAUACAAGUGAAGUUAGAUGCGUUUCUUGUUCUCAACGACAAGAAUCUACCAGGUCGAGCAAGUCUCGUAAAUUUCACGAUUGCGAGCCACGCUUCACGCAACCGUGUUUGCGUACUUGUGUUUCGAGUUGCGUGGUCGUGCGGAGUUAUAUUUACCAAAUUUAAAUAUAAUCCUUUCUUUUCUGAUUCAUAAUAAUAUAUGUCAAUAUGGCUACUGGGUGUAAAAGAUAAAUCUUAUUCUAUCUGUUCUGAGUUUUAGAUAAUUUUAGUUGUAUUUCUUUGUAAUUUUGUGUUGUACAAAUAUUAAUUUAACAUUUUCUCUGGAAGUAUUAAUUUAGAAAGAUAAUAUGCUUCAUUGGUGUUGUGUUUUGAAGUAGUGUGAAAUGCAAAGUAAUUGUGAUAGAGUCAAGAUAAAGUUCACUUUUAAACUGAACUAAAUAAGGUAUCUGAGAGACAACAAUGGUUAAAUGCAAUACAAUGUACAGGUUUUACUAGCGAAAUGAAAAUUUUCCUGUCCUGUCUGCUGUAAUCAUUUUAUAUCUGGAAAACCAGCCGACUUAAUCGAUAAUAACAAUCUCCAGAUUGGGUUCCUUCAAUAAAUAUGGGCUAUCAACACAAUGAAAUAAGUUCCCCAAAAUCUAAAAUGGAGUGGUAUCAAAGGAGAAUUAAAGGAAAAAAUAUUCAUAUUGAAAUUAUUUAUAAGGCACUGGACUGUCUUAAAUUCUACAACAAUACUAGAAUCAGCUGAGAGAAGUGGUCUACAAAAAACCAGGAAGGAAACGGAAUAUGUGGCUACGAAAGGCAAAAGAAAGGUUUACAUAUCAG
Long non-coding RNA from Diabrotica virgifera virgifera (western corn rootworm), 887 nucleotides. RefSeq lists it as uncharacterized. The record is from RefSeq and is a predicted model, not a curated record. NCBI's taxonomy places the organism in Eukaryota, Metazoa, Arthropoda, Insecta, Coleoptera, Chrysomelidae. The transcript has 3 exons.